Pecten maximus is the source of this 671-nucleotide long non-coding RNA. RefSeq lists it as uncharacterized. The record is from RefSeq and is a predicted model, not a curated record. The transcript has 3 exons. Lineage: Eukaryota; Metazoa; Mollusca; Bivalvia; Pectinida; Pectinidae.
ACUUUGCAUAACUCCAGAUACACGUCAGGAGUAACGACAGACAGGAAGCUACGAAACCGCCAUUUUGUCUGUAGGCAUCAACGAAAAUGGGUUCACGCAUCUGCAUACGCAUAUCAUCAAGCUGUAACAGCAUUACGACUGGAUUUCCAUGGAUCCUGUAUGAAGAGUCCUGAUAUGACCUCUACCCCUGACCCGGAUGUAUGUUAUCCACGUUGGUGACACAUGUUGACAGCUAUCUCCAUAAAAUGCCCAACAUGCUGUGUUGAAACUUUUACAUUUUGCUACUCAGAUGUUGAUCUUGGUCAGUGGUUGUCGUUCGAACAAUUUUCUCAUCUGGAGCUCGUGGGUGAGAUCGAGGGGCCACCGCAGGACGAGACGGAGGUUAAGUUUAUGUUUCCAAAUAAUGCACUUUUGAUAAAAAAAAAUAUAAUAAAGAUAUCUGAACAGACUAUUUUCAAGAUAUUGCCACAAGAAGUUGGCUGGCUAAGUUUGCAAAUAUCAGAAAACGCUGUCUGUGUGCAUUUUAGUCAAUAUGAAUAUUCUAUGGAUAAAAGAUUUGUAUAGCAAUACCACAUGAAAAAACUCUAUUUCAAAUAAAUCAAAUAAUAACUUUCCCUUUAAAUAUAUCUGUGAUGCAUCGAGAAAAUAACGCCAAUAAUAUCAUAAAUACA